RNAcentral lists this small RNA (674 nucleotides) under Pongo abelii (Sumatran orangutan). RNAcentral describes it as "processed transcript". Lineage: Eukaryota; Metazoa; Chordata; Mammalia; Primates; Hominidae. The record is from RNAcentral.
AGCGCGUCCCGGCCGGGCCCGGCGCCCGGCCAGCGUCCCCGCUUCAGCUCGCCGCCGCGCUUCGGCCGCCGGGCCCGAGCGGGCGGGAAGGGAUCUCUCUAGGAGCUGACACUCGAACCUUCACGACCCAUUCGGAUUUUUCCAGGACUCAGGCGUGGCACUGGGAAGAAGGGGACCGCUUUCUGCAAUUGGCCUCGACACUGGCUGCCAAGAAGACCUGUCGCCUUUGUUUUUAAGUCUCCAGAAAUGGAAGAAGAAGGCGAAGUCAGUUGAAGUCACGAGAAAUCAGCGAGGCAUUUGAAGGCGCUUCCUGAAAACCUUUAUUCCCUGGCACGUUGUCUGUUUCACCAGCCCUGCCCCUCCUCGGAGCCUGCUUGUGGAAUUCUUCCCCUUCGGGUGUGUGGUGGCAUUCCCCCCCACCUCCAAUGUGGACUCCAAAGGAUUUGUCCCUUCUUUGUCAUUUGAAAUGAAAUGAUGGCCACGCGUCGGACUGGUCUGCCUGAGGGAGAUGGUGACAAGCUCAAGGCCUGCGAGGUUAAGCGUUUUAUGAAGUUCAUUGUGCCUUGAUGUUCUUCAUUUCUUUAUUACUACCAGGUCAAGUAAUCUAGCACAAAAGUCUCAAAAAAUAAAGAUGGAAAAGAACAAAGUGAAACUGUAUCACUGUCCGAAGAUGA